Molecule: long non-coding RNA, 1140 nt
Organism: Brassica napus (rape)
Lineage: Eukaryota; Viridiplantae; Streptophyta; Magnoliopsida; Brassicales; Brassicaceae
Exons: 2
Source: RefSeq, a predicted model, not a curated record
UCGUUAUCGUUUCUGUGUCUAGGCGACUGUCUCUGCAAAAAUGGAGGUAGCAGCAGCGACUGCGACUGCGACUGCGAGGAGCUUCACAACACUUCGAGCUCGUACGUCAGCGAUAAUCCCGUCUCGAUAUAAAGUGAGAUGUUCGUCAUCUUCGUCUCUCAGAGCUUCUCUCUCUCUCGAAUGGCUUACUCUCCCCAUAUAGCGGAGGAAACAUCUCUAGCGACUUCUGUGGCUCCAAGCUUUUUUCGGAAUCGCGUAAUCCGUUAAAUCUGCUCAAUUCUAAGCCCAAGCGCGGAGUUGUCACUGUGGUUAUACCUUUUUUCAAAAGGAAGUGCACACGAACAGCCUCCUCCUGAUUUGGCAUUGUAUUUGUUCAAAAACCGAAUUGUAUAGUUGGGAAUGUCUCUGGUGCCUUCAGUCACUGAGUUGAUACUCGCCGAGUUUCUUUACCUUCAGUAUGAAGACGAGGAAAAGCCUAUUUACCUCUACAUAAACUCCACAGGGACAACCAAUGUAUAGUGAACGCAUGUUGGAUAGUGACCUUAAAACUGUGGGAGUGGAUGAUUUAGAGGUUUGUAUAUCAUCACCUAGUCUUUAUAGUGUUUAAGAGAAUUUUAUUUUCUUACUUUUCAUAAUGGUGAGAAGUUGGGCUAUGAUACUGAGGCUUUUGCAAUUUAUGAUGUCAUGGGGUUAGUAAUCUUUUUUCUCUCUUCUUUGAUUACUUCAUUCUCGUAUAAGAAGAAUUUAUGACUAAACUCUAAUCCUGGAACUGCUUUCCCAAAUAUUCUAAACCGCAAUUGAAGAAGACUUUCAUAUGAAGCACUUCUUGACUUGGGAGACUGAACAUAAUAUCCAUGGAAGAAGCAACUCUUUUUUUAUAUUUGACUUCAGGUAUGUCAAACCACCAAUCUUUACUCUUUGCGUCAGGAAUGCUUGGCGUGAAGCUGCUUUGCUUCUGACUGCUGGUGCUAAAGGAAAUUGUUCUGCAUUGCCCUCAUAAACUAUAAUUAUAAAACAUGUUUUUUUUUCCCUGAAGUGGCGUCUGUUUUUUCCUAAUUGUAAGAAAGCUAGGCUUUAUGAAUAACUGUUCGUCUGUUACUUAUCCAUGUAUUUUCUUUUAUUUGAUAACUUUGUAGCCAA